Molecule: ribosomal RNA, 510 nt
Filed under: Triticum aestivum (bread wheat)
Lineage: Eukaryota; Viridiplantae; Streptophyta; Magnoliopsida; Poales; Poaceae
Description: partial small subunit ribosomal RNA
Source: RNAcentral
CUUGUAGUUCAAGCAGCAGCGCUGAUAGCUGUGGUUCAGGCCUGGAUCUUGUUGGUCCAUAAUAGAUAUGUUCAUCGGAAUGAAAUACCUCUCAUCCGAUAUGAUCCGAUGUUAAUUCAGGAUCAAGAAAGGAUAGCGAAUCUGAACUACAUCUAGAACUGCAAUGACAUAGAAGCUCCGUGGAUGCUUAGAAUGAAAAGAGCACCUUUCUCAAGGCUUGUGCAGACGUUCAGAAGAAGGGGGAUGCUAGAAGAUAGCAUCCACAACUCUGUGGAAGAGCAAGUAGCCAUGUUCCUCCAUGUUGUUGGUCAUAACCAGAGGUUCAAUGUUAUACACAGCACCUUCAGGAGAUCAAUGGAGACCAUCUCCAGGUACUUCAAGCAAGUGAUGUAUGUUGUUGGGGAACUCGGGGGAGAGAUGAUCGUGUCACCAACCGGCCGGACUCCUACCAAGAUUCGCACUAGCCCAAGAUGGUAUCCAUACUUCAAGGUGAGCACUGACAGUAUGUAG